Long non-coding RNA from Alligator mississippiensis (American alligator), 2553 nucleotides. RefSeq lists it as uncharacterized. The record is from RefSeq and is a predicted model, not a curated record. The transcript is spliced from 2 exons. Lineage: Eukaryota; Metazoa; Chordata; Crocodylia; Alligatoridae.
UCCUCUUGCUAUUACACACAUUACAUUCACAUUACAUAGUGUGCUCAAAGUUAAUCAGAUUAAUAAGUGUUAGCAGGAUUGGGACGUAAAAAUCAGCCAUCUACGGUAUAUGCCUAGGACAAUUUUUUUAGAAACAAAUUCCAUCCCCAGUCAGUAAAUACAGAUUCUUUUCUUUCAUUUAACUUAUAUUGUAGCAAAAAGAUGGUAAGCUAAAGUAUUAUCACCACUAGGGUGGCCAUCAUAAAGGACAUUCCAGUUUUCUGCUACUCUGUCCUCUGUCCUCUAUUGAUAUGAAACCAGAUGCCUUUAUGUCCUCUAUUUUUCUCUUAUAUAUACAGGCAUAUAGGUGUCCUGUUUCGUAUCAAUAGAGGACAGAGGACAGCUGGACCUGUCCUCUGUGAUGGCCAUCCUACUCAUACAGUAGAUACUUAAUACAUUUUAAUCUAUCACCAUGAUAAACUUAAGAAGACCUUAUAUUAAGACUAGAAAAAAAAAAAAACAGCUUCAUUUAAUGUUGGACCAAAUAGUCUUCACAACCGUAGCACCAACUCUGUAAGAUGUUAACAUUUCAGCACCAGUUUACACACAGGCUGUAAAGGAUUAAGACAGAAAAGAAAAGAUUGUUUCAGAACCCAAUAGUUAGCCCCUAAGUCAAAUGGCUAAAUUCCAACUUGAGCAAUUCUUUUUGUUUACCUAAAAUUCCUCUCACAUUGUUUCAGUUGGAUAUAAGAAUUUUCUUCAAUUGAUCCUUUAAAAUGCUCUAUAAUAUUGUUGCUAAGUGUUAGUAAAUAGCUGCCAUUAUUUAACUUCUACCUUCUUAAAGAACUAAAAGAUGUGUCUCAUUGGCUAUAAACUUGAUUAACAUGAUUUGGAAUGAGAGGCACAAUAGAAAUGUCAAAUAUUAUUACUAUUAUGAACUUUAUUAACAGAUGAAACUAGCAAAAGUAGCCUGCAGUCACCUCACAAUGUAAGACACUUGAUUGUCUUCUAAAUCCUUAAAAAAGAUGAAAAAUGAUCUCACCCCACCCUGGAGUAGGUAGAAGGAUAUUUGAUUCUUCACUAUGAGUUGCAAAUCUCUAUCCUGACUUUUCCUGAGGACAUAAUGCCUCAUGCAGCUAUAUAUUUUUCUUCAUCUUUUUCAGAAAAAAAUCAGGGGUUGUCAUUAAGUGGAUACUUAUGAGAUUAGGUUCAAUCAUGCUUUCCUGGAACUCCAGGCCUAAAUGGUUAACAGAGCUGUGUGUAAAUAAAUUAGUUUAUUAACUGCAUAUCUCUAAUGAUGUAUAUUUUUCUCUCUUUUCAAAAUAGCUGCUAUUUAUGUGGUUCUCAGAAGUCCAGUCUCACUGUACAUUUGUAACCAAUUUUACCAUUUCUUAGAAUAUCUUUGGGAGCAAUUCCAGCUCCCACCUCAAUGUAAAUAAUUGAAAAUUACCUAGCUUGUUAUUGUGGUUAUUCUUUGCUUUAUUAUUUGUUGCCCCAGUGUGUAAAGAGCCUCAACUUAUACAAACAGUCCUUUUUCCUGAAAAGCCUACAGUCCAAAAGCUAGCUGCAUGGAAAAGGGGCUCAGUGAGAACACUAGCUACAACAACGGUCUCUGGGUCAGAAGAAUCUACUGAUGGUGCAAGCAGUUACUUGAGAAACAUUUCCCUGUGCUUACAAGCAAUACAAAUGCUUUGAAGAUUUCAUUGUCAUAGAAGUUUUUAUAAAACUCAGUGAUCGGAUGUGGAUAGAUUUUGCAACCUUUAACAUUGAGCACGACAGUUCACUUUUUUCUUUUAAUACUGGAGUGGAGGUAAUUUCUGGAUGUGUGCAGACAUUCAAGUGGUCUUGAAGAAUCCUCCAGGUUUAGUUUCCUGGUAGAAAAACUUACCUGGACAUACCUGAACAGACAUUCAAAUGUGGAGCCCUUAAAGAAGGCAGAGCUUGCAGUUCUGACACUACUCAGCCAGAAGGCUCCUGUGCAAACAUCUCAGUGUGCUGUGCAGACUCCCUUAGUGUGCCCAGAGACAGAUGGCAGCAGUGCACAGAGCAGCUCUGAGUGGCUGACCCGGACUGCGCAGAGUCAGCCUGUAUCUCCCUGCAGCACAAUGUGGGAUUGUGAAGGAGGCAUGUUUUACCACUGGGUUAGCUAAAGUAAUAAACUCCAGCCUUUGUGCACACUGUUUCCAGUAGAUAUGAGGGUAUGGGAGGAAAGCAUCCUGGGAUGCAGGAGAACUAUGCUAUGACUUCUUUCAGAAGAGAAUACAUACCAUCACUCUCCCGGGAGAAGCUCCGGGAAAAAAAAAUCCUGAACAUUUGUGUACUUGUGGUUUGUCUUGGGAGAACGGUGACUUUCCCGGGAGAAACUGAAUGUCUGUACGUGGCCUAUAUUAGCGUUCUUUUUCUCUGAGGAACUUCAGAAAAACCUGGAACUUUAAAAACUCCUAAGUAUGGCUUCAAUUGAUAAACCAAAAGUUUUGCUUCAUGCUUAAUGAAGGAUUCCAAAAGCUUUUUCAAUUAAUUAUUUUUUAUUCCCCACAGUUUGAUAUAUUCAAAUUAAAAAAUACGUUCCAUGUG